UGUAGCUAGCGGCUACCGUGCUUGAGAGCACAGAGAACUGAAAAGGUUUUCUUUGCCUCAAUAAAAGCAGAAAGUGCUGAAAGGAGAAAACGAGCUGAUUCCACUCUGCUCCCAGUGGAAAAUCCCCUAUUUGCUCAUAGUUUUAAUGAAAAGAGAGGAGGGAAAAUUAUCGUGAUGUAUCAUCAAGUUAGAAUUAUAAAAAUUAGGGGCUCUAAGGGACAAAAUAAAACAUUGCCAUCUCUGGAAUCUUUCUAAUGGGAUCUGUCUUUUCCAGCAGCUCUAAAAGCAGAGCGAAGCCUACCCCUGCCCCCACCACACUUACAGGUUGGCAGCAAUGGCCAGAGGAAGUAUUUUACAAGCGGGAGACCUAGGCCAGGAUUUACCCAAGGCCCCAGAAGCUUGGCAGAGCAAAGUACGCAAGGUGCCUAUCACCAAAACAGGACUCUCUUUACCAAAUCAAGCAUGUGAUCUCAAGUUACCAGUCCAGCCUGCCCCUGAAAUAAGACCAUCAUAGCGUUAGAAAGGCUUUGCUUAAAGGAAGAAUUCUGGUAUACUUUGCUCAUGACCAGAACCAUCUGGAAGCAAUCUAGCAUUCACAAGAUGGACUUUUCUUCUUUGGCCCUUGCUCUCUCUACAAAUCCCAUCAGCCCAGGAACAGCUGCCGGAGAAUCUGGCCUGGCGCCAUGGGUGAAGUUUCAGCCCCCUCCCACACACAUGUCCUUCUGGGUCCCUGGCUUGCUUGCCACCCCAUGUGGCUGGACAUGGCACAAAGUACGCUGGUCCUACUUGAGAAAGCGAAAUAGCUAGCGGUCACAGGAGCAGAGACUUGGUGCCACAAAGCCAGCUGUGAGAAACUGCUGUUUCAACUCGGUAACACAGACACUCGCCAGUAAAUUACAGCCUGAGACAUCUCAGAGGGCUGCGGGUCGGGAUACGCUGCUCUCAAGGCAACACAAUGCCAGCUACAGCGUGCAUCCUGCAACAGCAGCUCAACACAAAGGGACGGGGAGGAUGGGCCCCAGCGUGAGGAUUCUGGCACCGGGACCAAUGACACCAUGCACAGGAGGAUCGUCAAGACACCGGUCCUGGUCCUGGUGGAUAGACAGCCCUUGCUUAAAUGUACACCGAAGCUCGAAACGGAAUUAUCAUGUCUAAUUAUCCUGAAGAAAAGCUGACUGGCACCUUGUGUAAGAACCCCAACAAAGAGUCAGAAACCUG
Molecule: non-coding RNA, 1218 nt
Organism: Macaca mulatta (Rhesus monkey)
Lineage: Eukaryota; Metazoa; Chordata; Mammalia; Primates; Cercopithecidae
Source: RefSeq, a predicted model, not a curated record